CCGACUGCUAUUUGGGUGAGAAUAAGCCAUGCGAGUUGAAUGGGAGGCCAUCCCAUGGCAAACUGCUCAGUAACACAUGAUCAACUUACCCUAUAGAGAAGAAUAACCUCGGGAAACUGAGGAUAAUGCUUCAUAGUUGAAACGGCUUGGAAAAGUUUUUCAAUCAAAGGGAUAAAACAAAUGGGUUUUAUUCGCUAUAGGAUAGGAUCGUGGACGAUUAUGGUUGUUGGUGAGAUAACGGCUCACCAAGCCGAUAAUCGAUAGGGGCCGUGAGAGCGGGAGCCCCGAGAUGGGUACUGAGACAACGACCCAGGCCUUACGAGGCGCAGCAGGCGCGGAACCUCAUCAAUACACGAAAGUGUGAAUGGGUUACCCAAAGUGUUCAAUUUUGAACUGUGGUAGGUGAGUAAUGUCCCCUACUAGAAAGGAGAGGGCAAGGCUGGUGCCAGCCGCCGCGGUAAAACCAGCUCUUCAAGUGGUCGGGAUAAUUAUUGGGCUUAAAGUGUCCGUAGCCGGUUUAGUAAGUUCCUGGUAAAAUCGGGUAGCUUAACUAUCUGUAUGCUAGGAAUACUGCUAUACUAGAGGGCGGGAGAAGUCUGAGGUACUACAGGGGUAGGGGUGAAAUCUUAUAAUCCUUGUAGGACCACCAGUGGCGAAGGCGUCAGACUGGAACGCGCCUGACGGUGAGGGACGAAAGCCAGGGGAGCGAACCGGAUUAGAUACCCGGGUAGUCCUGGCCGUAAACGAUGCAUACUAGGUGAUGAUACGGCCAUGAGCCGUAUCAGUGCCGUAGGGAAACCGUUAAGUGUGCCGCCUGGGAAGUACGGUCGCAAGGCUAAAACUUAA
This 846-nucleotide ribosomal RNA is filed under the name uncultured archaeon. RNAcentral describes it as "bacterial SSU rRNA". It matches the Rfam family "Archaeal small subunit ribosomal RNA", at positions 23 to 859 of the family's 1478-position model. The record is from RNAcentral.